UAGGGAAUCUUCCGCAAUGGACGCAAGUCUGACGGAGCAACGCCGCGUGAGUGAAGAAGGAUUUCGGUUCGUAAAACUCUGUUGUUAGAGAAGAACAGCGCAUAGAGUAACUGUUAUGCGUGUGACGGUAUCUAACCAGAAAGCCACGGCUAACUACGUGCCAGCAGCCGCGGUAAUACGUAGGUGGCAAGCGUUGUCCGGAUUUAUUGGGCGUAAAGCGAGCGCAGGCGGUCAAUUAAGUCUGAUGUGAAAGCCCCCGGCUCAACCGGGGAGGGUCAUUGGAAACUGGUUGACUUGAGUGCAGAAGAGGAGAGUGGAAUUCCAUGUGUAGCGGUGAAAUGCGUAGAUAUAUGGAGGAACACCAGUGGCGAAGGCGACUCUCUGGUCUGUAACUGACGCUGAAGCUCGAAAGCGUGGGUAGCAAACAGG
RNAcentral lists this ribosomal RNA (429 nucleotides) under Bacteroidota bacterium. Its description in RNAcentral is "Bacteroidetes bacterium partial 16S ribosomal RNA". It matches the Rfam family "Bacterial small subunit ribosomal RNA", at positions 355 to 776 of the family's 1533-position model. Lineage: Bacteria; Pseudomonadati; Bacteroidota. The record is from RNAcentral.